UGGGGAAUUUUGGACAAUGGGCGAAAGCCUGAUCCAGCAAUGCCGCGUGUGUGAAGAAGGCCUUCGGGUUGUAAAGCACUUUUGUCCGGAAAGAAAUCCUUGGCUCUAAUACAGUCGGGGGAUGACGGUACCGGAAGAAUAAGCACCGGCUAACUACGUGCCAGCAGCCGCGGUAAUACGUAGGGUGCAAGCGUUAAUCGGAAUUACUGGGCGUAAAGCGUGCGCAGGCGGUUUGCUAAGACCGAUGUGAAAUCCCCGGGCUCAACCUGGGAACUGCAUUGGUGACUGGCAGGCUAGAGUAUGGCAGGGAGGGGGGUAGAAUUCCACGUGUAGCAAGUGAAAUGCGUAGAGAUGUGGAGGAAUACCCGAUGGCGAAGGCAGCCCCUGGGCCAAUACUGACGCUGCAUGCAACGAAAGUCGUCGGGGGAGCAAACAGGAUUCCAGAAUACCCUAGGUAGUCCACGCCCUAAAGCGUAUUGUCAACUAGUUGUUGGGGAUUCAUUCCUUAGUAACGGUAGCUAACGCGUGAA
RNAcentral lists this ribosomal RNA (530 nucleotides) under uncultured bacterium. Its description in RNAcentral is "partial 16S ribosomal RNA". It matches the Rfam family "Bacterial small subunit ribosomal RNA", at positions 355 to 863 of the family's 1533-position model. The record is from RNAcentral.